Otolemur garnettii (small-eared galago) is the source of this 118-nucleotide small nuclear RNA. NCBI's taxonomy places the organism in Eukaryota, Metazoa, Chordata, Mammalia, Primates, Galagidae. The record is from Ensembl.
GUGUUGUAUGAAAGGAGAGAAUGUUAGCACUCCCCUUGACAAGGAUGGAAGAGGCCCUCAGGCCUGACAACACGCAUAUGGUUAGAAAUGUUUUAAAUUUCUUAAACCUGAGUAAAAU